GGGGACAUGGAGGAGAGAGGCAAGCAGAGGGGACAGGAGAACAUAUGUGGGGACCUGCAGGGUGUGCGAGGGGCCCCGAAUUCAGGUGCUGGAGAGGCAGUCAUGUGACAUAGUGUAACCAAUGAGAUGUGAGAACACUAGACAGUCCAACCCUAUGCCUCCAGGCCCAGAAGUGGAAGCAGGCCAUUCUGGAAAAGCCCAGUUAGACUGGAACCUACAGGACUGGAUGUUGGGUGAGCUGCUGCUCAUGUUGACCUGGGACAGGAUGCUCAGUGCAGGUGUGGGCUAAGGCUGGGCUAACUUUCAUUCAGAUGAUCAUUUCUCGGAGGAAGGAAUGGGUCGACCAAGUGACUUCUCCACACUGACUUGUCAGCCUUCUGCUUCUGAUUUUCAGUUAUGAAAAAAAAUGUGUGUAAUUGGGAGGAAAUGUUCCCAGAACUGAGCGUCAAGGGAACAGAGUGUGAACUGGAAGUUCCCAUAUGACAGCCGGGCCAGUCCAUGGGUCACUGUCAGAGCCCUCACACUCAGCACCCAGUGGGUGCUCGUGGAUGUUCUCUGAAGGUGUGAAGAAGGUGUGAAAGUUUGAGAUUAGCCAUGGCAGACCCUGUCACCUGAAGAGUCCCUUGGGGUACAAAGGCAGAUGAUACUUGAGAUCCUGGACACAUCUGGAAGUAAACUAUGGUCCCUGAUUCCUGGCCCAAAGAAAAAGACAAUCCUUGAGCCAAUUCCCUCUAAAGACAUCCUAUGGAUCCUCACAAAUCAGUUUUCCCACAAGCACUUAGAGCCACUGCUGGCUGGGAGUCUGGCCAGUACACCCUGUGUCCUCCAGGAACAUCCUGUGGGCUGUCUCAAGUCAGGGAAGUCAGGCAGUGGAAGAGAUUCCUCCCCACCUCCACUGGUUCUGCUUGCGAGUGACCAAAGCUCACUGGUCAUUGGGUGGGUUCAUUCUGCCUUCCGAGUCCAGGGAGGCAGCUUCUGCCAAGUAGGCAAGUAGGCAGCUUCUUCAAACCUUACUCCUGUCCUUUGCCAGCUGCCAGCAUUUGCAGAAGUUCCUCCACCACACUGGGACAACAUUUACUUAGUUGUAAAAUAAAUGACAACGAUGUCAUAUUCUUUACAAAGACAUUAGAAUGAAUCAAGGGAAGCUGGACGUGGUGGUGCUGCUGCCACCGCAGAGCACGGGAGGAUUACAAGUUUAAACCCGGCCUGUGCUGCAUGAGCAGUGUGAGGCCAGUGAGCUGUCUACGUAAAAUUUAAAUUACAAACUAACUCUGUUUGUAAGCUGAAGAGUGGGCAUGUGUGCGGGAUCUUUCCCAGUGUGUGUGCAGUGACUUACAGAAGGGUCUGCAGGGUGCCCUCCUCGGUCUGUGUGGCUUUUACCCUCCAGCUUCUUCAGCGCUACUUUCUCCGAUGCUCAUCUUGUUUCCAGAGUGACUUAUUCCAUGAGAUGCAUUUGAGCCUCGAGGCUCGCCUGUCCUCCCUCUCCCAGCCCCUCCCACCCUGUGCACAUAUGGAGUCAUGACAGUGAUCUGACAAUGACUUGGAGGAGAACCUUGGCCACCACUGGCAAAUGCUGUCUCCAUUCGGUCAGUGGUUGUAUGGAGGCCUGGAGACGUGGCUCUGUGAGCAGAAUGCUUGCCCUGCACUCCAAAGUCCUGAGUUCAAUCCCCAGCCCCACAAUAAAUAGGAGGGUGGUGGAUGGCUCAGUAGGUAAAGAUACUUGCCCCAAAGUCUGAUGAACUGAGUUCAGUCCUGAAACCCACAUGUAGAAGAGCAUGAAUUCCUACAAAUUGUUCUCUGAUCUCUUCAUGAACACUGUGACACACAUGUAUGCAUGUGCAUAAACACAAACACAUAUAUACACAUACAUAACAUAUAUGCAUACAUACCUUCAGACAUAUAUACACAUACACGUAUACAAGCAUAUACACACAGAUUUCAAACAUACAUACCUACACAUAUAAACAUAUACAUACACAUACACAUUCACACAUGCACAUACACACAUACACUCACACACACAAACACACAAAAUGCACAUCAUACAUAUACAUACAUACAUAUACACAUACAUUCACACACACAUCCACUCACACACAUAAGCACAUGCAUACAUACAAACAUAUACACACACACACCAUAAAUAACAUUUUAAGAGAGUGGUGCUUUGUGCAUGUAAUCUCAACACUCGGGAGCUGGAUGGACGUAGGGGUCAGAAGCUCAAGGUCAUCCUCUACAAUAGAGUGAACCUGAGUCCAUCCUGGAACUCAUUAGACACUUACAGAGGAAGCCAGGUAGAUGGUGUGGUUCAGAAAUCCUCUCUGCUAGGCAGUUCAAGACCACAGUAGGCACAUCUUAGUCAGGAAGCCCUCACUGAACUGUCCUUUCCCAAAGGUUCAUGUCAUUGUAGUUUCCAAAGUGGGAGGCACCAGGAGCCUGGCACCCUGAUGAUUCUGUGAUGGAUAUAACAUGAGUUAUAUAUAACAGAGUGUGCCCUCUGUUACUUGGCUAUGAGGUCUAGAGAUGGUCACCAAUCUCCUCUUCUUCAGGACCUCGGACAGCGGGGUUUCCCCUUAAGAGUCAGUCCUAGUUUCUGUGUUUCCAGUACUUGGGAGCUGUGUGCUUUAAUGCGGUGGGAAGCGCCUCUGCAUCCGUCUAUGUUAACGGCCUUGCUCUUCAUUUUACAAGCCAGGAAAUGUCAGAAGAGUUGAACCCAAUAGCGACACCAUCUAAUAAA
Molecule: long non-coding RNA, 2737 nt
Organism: Apodemus sylvaticus (European woodmouse)
Lineage: Eukaryota; Metazoa; Chordata; Mammalia; Rodentia; Muridae
Exons: 3
Source: RefSeq, a predicted model, not a curated record